This 65-nucleotide transfer RNA is filed under the name Liposcelis decolor. RNAcentral's name for it is "tRNA-Gln". The record is from RNAcentral. Lineage: Eukaryota; Metazoa; Arthropoda; Insecta; Psocodea; Liposcelididae.
UUAAUAAUAGUGUAAAAAACACGAUAAAUUUUGAAUUUAUAAUUAAGUUUAAAACUUUUAUUAAU